UUAUUAAGGCUGAAUAUCUAUUAUAACUGUUGAAAUUACUACACAUUGUAUUCUUUUCUUCAUCAAAGUAAGUAGAUGUUCAAACUAAAUUGAGGUAUAAGGGAUACAUAUAACAAACAUAUAGAUGCUUAUUAUAACAAGUUUAUUCAAUUGACUCGCUCGAGAAUUCUAUAUGAAAGAUUAUUUGUGUUUAUGAAAAACCUCACGUGAUAAACAUGUAAGUG
Molecule: unclassified non-coding RNA, 224 nt
Filed under: Hevea brasiliensis (rubber tree)
Lineage: Eukaryota; Viridiplantae; Streptophyta; Magnoliopsida; Malpighiales; Euphorbiaceae
Source: RNAcentral